AAGUCGUAACAAGGUUUCCGUAGGUGAACCUGCGGAAGGAUCAUUAACACGUAUCCAAACGUUAAAACCCCCCCCGUGAACCUUCAUCCUGCUCUUGUAACCCGCGUAGUUCGCAAUCUCUGAUAAAUCAUAGCCCGGAAAGUUGUAGUGAUUCAGAGACCUCUGGCUACGUGCGAACAUUGGAACAGUUACAAUCGAGCGGUAGUUCUAUAGGCAAUGUUUCUCCAAGCUGUUCUACGAUUCCUGUAGACCGUACACUCGGGCAGGAGCUUUGCCAAAGGGUCCCCAUGCCCCCUAAUAACCCCACAGUUUAAUGUGAAGCUCAAUGUAAUACAUUGGGUAAAAAAACCGAACAACUGUUAACAAUGGAUAUCUUGGUUCUC
This 383-nucleotide unclassified non-coding RNA is filed under the name fungal sp. RNAcentral describes it as "partial internal transcribed spacer region". The stretch from base 1 to 46 matches the Rfam family "Eukaryotic small subunit ribosomal RNA", at positions 1786 to 1831 of the family's 1831-position model. The record is from RNAcentral. Lineage: Eukaryota; Fungi.